AUUGAACGCUGGCGGCAUGCUUUACACAUGCAAGUCGAACGGUAACAGGCCUUCGGGUGCUGACGAGUGGCGCACGGGUGCGUAAUGCAUCGGAACGUACCCCGGGGUGGGGGAUAACGCAGCGAAAGCUGUGCUAAUACCGCAUGUGAUCUGAGGAUGAAAGCGGGGGACCGAGCAGCAAUGUUUGGCCUCGCGCCUUUGGAGCGGCCGAUGUCGGAUUAGCUAGUUGGUGGGGUAAAGGCCUACCAAGGCGACGAUCCGUAGCUGGUCUGAGAGGACGACCAGCCACACUGGGACUGAGACACGGCCCAGACUCCUACGGGAGGCAGCAGUGGGGAAUUUUGGGCAAUGGGCGCAAGCCUGAUCCAGCAAUGCCGCGUGCGGGAAGAAGGCCUUCGGGUUGUAAACCGCUUUUGGCAGGAACGAAACGGUGUCCGCUAAUACCGGGCGCUAAUGACGGUACCUGCAGAAUAAGCACCGGCUAACUACGUG
RNAcentral lists this ribosomal RNA (492 nucleotides) under uncultured bacterium. RNAcentral describes it as "partial 16S ribosomal RNA". It matches the Rfam family "Bacterial small subunit ribosomal RNA", at positions 29 to 507 of the family's 1533-position model. The record is from RNAcentral.